AAGGGAGAGGGAGAGAGGGAGAGAGAAAGAGAGAGAAAGGAGGAUGGGGAGGAAUAUGAAUGAGAGAAUGAGAAAUCAGGUAAGGGAAGAAAAAUCUGAGGGAUUUGUAGAUGCGGGACUUCCCUGUAUAUUUGCAGUAGCUUCACCCAAUCUCUUUCAGCUGCUGCCUGAGGUUGUUGAGGUUAACUAUUAAAAAACAGGCUGAGGGAGUUGUUAGGUACUGCACCCAAUUCAGAGGAUAAAGGACCUAGGUACAAAAGCUCCCCCCAAGCCGGGCCCCUCCCUCCACGCCAGCUCGCACCUCUUCUCCACCCGGUGCACCUGGGGCUGGCGCGGGCUCGGGACGCGUGCGGAGCGCCGCGAGCGCGGCGGAGGCAGAGGCGCGCUGACUGCCACCUCCAGCCCGCGCCCCAGGGACAGCUCGCGCGGAGCAACGGGCACCAUUCUCCGCGGCCGCUGCUCACGGCUGGCCGCGACCAUCGCCGCCGAAGCUACCGGCAGGCAGCCGUGCGUCCCCGGGACAGACAGCCCCGGAGGCUGCUCCUCCCGGAUGCCAGGGCCAGGGCGCCGGGCGGCGAGCAGCAGGAGGAUGAAGAGCUCAGCGGGAGGAAGGAGAGAAAAGCUCUUGGGGAUGCCUAAAGCUGAGCCCAGCCACGACCCAUUUACUUUGGAGGAGAGAAGAUUCUUUUUCACUCC
RNAcentral lists this long non-coding RNA (696 nucleotides) under Ictidomys tridecemlineatus (thirteen-lined ground squirrel). Its description in RNAcentral is "lncRNA (ENSSTOG00000029599.1)". The record is from RNAcentral. Lineage: Eukaryota; Metazoa; Chordata; Mammalia; Rodentia; Sciuridae.